UUGCGGGUUGCGCCUUAAUAUAAUACGAAUGUGUUAUUACGACGAUAUGCGCCUCCCUAUGCCUGAGUCAGAAGAGCUUUGUCGGAUAGAGAGAAGGAGAGUUGUCGAAUUGCCAAGCAAGAGCGUCUACACAGGGCGAGGGGUUGACAGGUGUGACGAAGCUCGCCGUUUGUGUUCCAGUCUGUCUGUCUGUCUAUCUAUCUAUAGAAUACCACGAUCCGAUAUCUGUCUGGGUGUCCUUUCGCUGAGUUGUCGGCAGGUAGAAGAAAGCUAUAUGAAGGGCUACGCAGUCGGCGCAUUGAUGGGGAUCACCUCAAAGGCCACAGUGGAAACACCAUUGUCUAUCGCACCGUUUCCAAAGUCGUGUAUCGUCAAUAACGAGGAACUAUCGCAUUAUCGUGCUCCUUCUGCUAGUGUGCUGACGUAUUCGUGCGACUGGGCGCUUUUUACUGGUAUCGCUAAUACAAACGACACUUGUAAACAAUUAAUUCUAGGUGGGGUUCGAGCGCGGAUGCGACGUCUUCAGCGAACACCCAAAAUACAAUGGGGGCUACUUGAUGAGACAGAUCGUUGAAGUGUCGGUUCGAACUGGGCCCGUUGCUGCCGUUUACCUAGUGAACAUUUCAUGCAACGAGCAGCAGCUUUACUAUACCUUAACCUGGGCUGACGAGAAAUCGACAUAAGGCUGAUCCGCGAACGCUAGUUGAAGUUUGUUGUCGAUGAUAUCCAGAUACAAGACGGUUCUCAUAAAGACAUCAGUGUAUUCGAUUCGGGCCUCACCUGCACCCGCUACACGGAAUAAGUCGUACAGGCUGCCUGUUACCUAUAUACAACCCAGCAGAAUCGAACAUAGAUGGUUGACAGAAAUAAAUGUCUACUUAAGUAUUGUUCACACCGAUUAUGAGGUCACGUAACGUUGGCGGGACUUGAACCAGAUAUCAUCAUUAAUAAACCAUCAUUACAACAAUUGUUUCUUAUAACGAUUAAACCAUAUAUGCUAACGGAGCGUUUUACGACUGCUUUUUUCCUUUCGAUCGUAUCUCUCUCUGUUCGCGUCCCUGAUCUGUGGUAUUGUCAACGAUGUCAUACUACGUUUGCAAUACUGUUUACUAUUGUCUUUUAUGGUUU
This is a non-coding RNA of Varroa destructor (honeybee mite), 1128 nucleotides long. NCBI's taxonomy places the organism in Eukaryota, Metazoa, Arthropoda, Arachnida, Mesostigmata, Varroidae. The record is from RefSeq and is a predicted model, not a curated record.